GGAUUUACUAUCCUAAGUAAAUCUUUCCUGUUUCAAAUGCUACUAUUUCUUCGUGGGCAGAAAGUCAAAAAUCAUCUUUUUCCGGUACUCCUUACUCUUUUCUCCCGUCGUCCUACUUUCACUUCUACAAAACAAAACAAGAAAGUGGCUUUUUCUAUCAGAAAAUGAAUCUGCUUUCUGAUGGCCAUUUCGGUCCGUUGUGGGACCACGGCUU
RNAcentral lists this long non-coding RNA (214 nucleotides) under Oryza brachyantha (malo sina). Its description in RNAcentral is "long non-coding RNA (OBRA_LNC003670)". Lineage: Eukaryota; Viridiplantae; Streptophyta; Magnoliopsida; Poales; Poaceae. The record is from RNAcentral.